Cryptomeria japonica (Japanese cedar) is the source of this 618-nucleotide long non-coding RNA. RefSeq lists it as uncharacterized. The transcript has 2 exons. Lineage: Eukaryota; Viridiplantae; Streptophyta; Pinopsida; Cupressales; Cupressaceae. The record is from RefSeq and is a predicted model, not a curated record.
UAAAUAAAAACAAAAGCCCACUGGAGAAAAUCUAGGGUAUGCAGAGAACAAAAAAUCUGAACCCUAAAAGAUAUGCAUCAUUUUCUUUUGCAUCUCUUUUGUUUCAUCAAGAAGGUAUUCCCUCCUUGUCCGCCAUGCACGUUGUGCUUGACUCGAGCUAAAGAUGAACAGGGUGUUGACUGAUUUUGCAUGGCUUAAAGUUAAUGUGUAGCCAUAGUAUUUCUUAAAACCAUGCAUGAAGAGGACUUUAUAAAACUGUAGCAUCAGUUUCCAUGGUGAUUUGAGGGUUUACUUUCUAUUGAUUCAUACAUUCAUUCUUCAUGUGAUUUAUUAUCUUGAUUUCUCUGUAUUAUUUUGUUUUGGGAUUAUUUUGUUUUUGCCAAAACCUAACAUUAUCUUGCACUUAUAAUGUGUGGGUUUAUAAAUAUAGAACUGUGCAAGAUAAUGUUAGGGUUUGGAGGAAAAUAUGGUGCGGCUCUUUAAGGACCUUAGACUUGUGUGACACUGAUUUCAAUGUGAAUGCAUCUUUGCUCACUAUUUUCUCUGCUAUGUAUUCUUAUUGACAGUAAUGGUCUAUAAAUACUUUCCUCUCUUUUCAAACUAUGAGGGUUAUCCUUA